Long non-coding RNA from Poecile atricapillus (Black-capped chickadee), 608 nucleotides. RefSeq lists it as uncharacterized. The transcript has 3 exons. The record is from RefSeq and is a predicted model, not a curated record. NCBI's taxonomy places the organism in Eukaryota, Metazoa, Chordata, Aves, Passeriformes, Paridae.
AAACAAGCACAAAGUGACUCUUUUCCCUUCUGCACAGGCAGGGAUCCCUUAAAAGAUUUCCAAGGAGGAAUCAGGAGGCUGGGAACAGCGGGAAGGAGAAAAAUCAGGAGUUCUGUGCCAGAAGGAAAAGCUGCCAGAGCAGCAGGAACAGGAGCUGGGGAAGAGAGAGAAUGCCUGGGCACAGAGGAGAAAGCUGAAAUACCAAAUUCUGCUAUGCAGGGGGAAGGUGGCAACACCCCCACGGAGAAUCCAGUGUGCAGACAAAAGCCAUCCUCAACCUGGCAGCUGCAGUGGGAAUGCCAACAUUCCACCUUUCCCUGCAGGGAUCAGGAACUUUAAGACCACUCAGGGAAGAGGGAGAGCUGCUUCAGCAAAUGUCACCAAAGCUCUCACAACAGGAAUCAUCCUCAGCUGCAGCUUAGGAAAUGACAAUGCCAAGAGGGAAGUGGGGUGAACUGAGGACAGGACAUUUUGCUUUUUCAUAAAAUCUAUUUAAUACCAAAUCCUAAAAAAAGCAGAUUUUUGUCACCUCCCCUCUACAUAACUAUGAUAUCUGCCAAUUUUCAGAUCAAAUCAACAUGUCUAAAAGGUGAAAAGAGAACACACAC